GAUGAAGAAUGUAGCGAAAUGCGAUAAGUAAUGUGAAUUGCAGAAUUCAGUGAAUCAUCGAAUCUUUGAACGCACAUUGCGCCCGCCAGUAUUCUGGCGGGCAUGCCUGUUCGAGCGUCAUUACAACCCUCAGGCCCCCGGGCCUGGCGUUGGGGAUCGGCGGAGCCCCCCGUGGGCACACGCCGUCCCCCAAAUGCAGUGGCGGUCCCGCCGCAGCUUCCAUCGCGUAGUAGCUAACACCUCGCGACUGGAGAGCGGCGCGGCCACGCCGUAAAACACCCAACUCUUCUGAAGUUGACCUCGAAUCAGGUAGGAAUACCCGCUGAACUUAAGCAUAUCAAUAAGCGGAGGA
RNAcentral lists this unclassified non-coding RNA (352 nucleotides) under soil metagenome. RNAcentral describes it as "partial contains 5.8S ribosomal RNA, internal transcribed spacer 2, and large subunit ribosomal RNA". The stretch from base 1 to 120 matches the Rfam family "5.8S ribosomal RNA", at positions 35 to 154 of the family's 154-position model. The record is from RNAcentral.